This 433-nucleotide ribosomal RNA is filed under the name uncultured bacterium. RNAcentral describes it as "partial 16S ribosomal RNA". It matches the Rfam family "Bacterial small subunit ribosomal RNA", at positions 29 to 507 of the family's 1533-position model. The record is from RNAcentral.
AACGAACGCUGGCGGCAUGCUUAACACAUGCAAGUCGAACGGAUCCUUCGGUAUGAGUGGCAAACGGUGGAGUAACGCGUGGGAACGUACCCUUUGCUACGGAAUGACGCAGGGAAACUUAGGCUAAUACCUUAUGUGCCCUACGGUGGAAAGAUUUAUCGGCAAAGGAUCGGCCCGCGUUGGAUUAGCUAGUUGGUGGGGUAAUGGCCUACCAAGGCGACGAUCCAUAGCUGGUCUGAGAGGAUGAUCAGCCACACUGGGACUGAGACACGGCCCAGAAUCCUACGGGAGGCAGCAGUGGGGAAUAUUGGACAAUGGGCGCAAGCCUGAUCCAGCCAUGCCGCGUGAGUGAUGAAGGUCUUAGGAUUGUAAAGCUCUUUAACAGGUGAAGAUAAUGACGGUAGCCGGAGAAGAAGCCCCGGCUAACUUCGUG